CACGCCGUAAACGAUGAGUGCUAAGUGUUAGGGGGUUUCCGCCCCUUAGUGCUGCAGCUAACGCAUUAAGCACUCCGCCUGGGGAGUACGGUCGCAAGACUGAAACUCAAAGGAAUUGACGGGGGCCCGCACAAGCGGUGGAGCAUGUGGUUUAAUUCGAAGCAACGCGAAGAACCUUACCAGGUCUUGACAUCCCGUUGCCCACUAUGGAGACAUGGUUUUCCCUUCGGGGACAACGGUGACAGGUGG
RNAcentral lists this ribosomal RNA (249 nucleotides) under uncultured Lysinibacillus sp. RNAcentral's name for it is "partial 16S ribosomal RNA". It matches the Rfam family "Bacterial small subunit ribosomal RNA", at positions 796 to 1041 of the family's 1533-position model. The record is from RNAcentral. Lineage: Bacteria; Bacillati; Bacillota; Bacilli; Caryophanales; Bacillaceae.